UGCGUAGGCGGUCGGGUAAGUCUGAUGUGAAAGCUCGGAGCUUAACUCCGAAAUGGCAUCGGAUACUAUUCGGCUCGAGGAAUGGAGGGGAGACUGGAAUGCUCGGUGUAGUAGUGAAAUGCGUAGAUAUCGAGCGGAACACCAGUGGCGAAGGCGAGUCUCUGGACAUUUCCUGACGCUGAGGCACAAAGGCCAGGGGAGCAAACG
This 207-nucleotide ribosomal RNA is filed under the name uncultured bacterium. Its description in RNAcentral is "partial 16S ribosomal RNA". It matches the Rfam family "Bacterial small subunit ribosomal RNA", at positions 568 to 774 of the family's 1533-position model. The record is from RNAcentral.